UACGGAGGGUGCGAGCGUUGUCCGGAAUCACUGGGCGUAAAGGGCGCGUAGGCGGCCUGAUCAGUAGGGGGUGAAAUCCUGCGGCUUAACCGCAGGGCUGCCUUCUAAACUGUCAGGCUGGAGCACAGUAGAGGCAGGUGGAAUUCCCGGUGUAGCGGUGGAAUGCGUAGAGAUCCGGAAGAACACCGGUGGCGAAGGCGGUCUGCUGGGCAGUAGCUGACACUGAGGCGCGACAGCGUGGGGAGCAAACAGG
Molecule: ribosomal RNA, 253 nt
Filed under: uncultured bacterium
Lineage: Bacteria
Description: partial 16S ribosomal RNA
Rfam family: Bacterial small subunit ribosomal RNA
Source: RNAcentral